Molecule: long non-coding RNA, 1255 nt
Organism: Vicia villosa (hairy vetch)
Lineage: Eukaryota; Viridiplantae; Streptophyta; Magnoliopsida; Fabales; Fabaceae
Exons: 3
Source: RefSeq, a predicted model, not a curated record
UUAAUCCCUAUCUUAUCACCUAAUCAUCAUUACAUUAAUAGGAAAUUAGAAAAGGGAUUAGGUUUUUUACGUGAAUUUGAACUCAGAUUGCUAUCUUUCUUCUUCCUUACGAACGGUGCGGCGAUGCUCCAACGGCCUCAACGGCGCGGCGAUGCUCCGACGGCCUCAGCGGCGUGUUACUGCAGUCUCCAAUCUCAUCCCUCUGACCGCCUCAAACUCUCGAUUUCAUCUCUCUUUCAAUCGUCACUCAUCUCUCUCGUUAAUCUCUCAUCUCAAUCUCUCGCUCAAUUCUCAUCACAGUUGUUCCGACGAUACUUCAAACGUGACGGCGAUGAGCUUAGAUCCGCGACUCCGUAUUCAGUUGUUGAUUCGAAUCAAAGAGCAAAGAUUAUGAGGAGAUAUUGUUGGCGAUUGAAGAAGAUUGGCGAAAGAUGAUGAUUCGGCGAUGAUGAUGAAACACGUUGUUCUUGCUAAUUGACGACGAUGAUGAUCGUUGCUACUUUCGUAGAUUUGUUGAAUAUUGAUUAUCACGAAUUUUCUCUUGAAUGAUGAAGAUUGAAUCGAUGUAUAUUUUCUGGUUUUUUCUUGCAGGAUUUGUGGAAGGUGAAGAUUGAAGAUGUUGAAUCGUCAAUUGUGAAUUCGGUGAUGAUUGAAGAAUUGAAGAUAGGCCAAGGUUGAAGUUUGGGCGAAGGUUGCGGAUCCGAAGGAGUUUUUCUGUUACAUUUUUCUGUGAGUUUUCGGUGAUUGUUAUGAAUGGAGGAGGAUGAAGAUUCAGAGAUGGUGAAGAAGGUUCUUGGAGAUGAUGAAGAACAGAGAUGAUGAAGAUGAUGAAGAUCAAAAUUGGUGGAGAAGUUUGUUCAUUUUCGGUUACUGAUUUUUCUUUUCCUCUCGUUUCUGUUACAAAUUGUUAUCACUCUUUUCUGUUGAAUGUGAAUCUGUUAUGCUGUGGUGAGUGGAGAUUCCAGAAAAAUCAAGAUUGAAGGUGGUUGAGAGUGAUUGAAGAAUGUUUUAUCAGGGGCGGUAUGUAUGGAGUUAGCUGCCAGCGGGUGGUCUUGACCAUGAAGAAAGCAAUAGAUACCAAGUAGAGUACACAAUAGAAAGCUCUUGAAAUGGACUCAUGAAAGUCACUAAAUUUUUCAUAAUAUUUCUUGUAACUAAUUUUGUAAUGGAUUGGACAAUUGACCUUUUUUGUAUAGUUUUGUAAAUGGGCUUUUGUAAUUUCUUGUAAUGAACAUGGACUUGGAUUACAUUUGUA